GCAAGGGUGAGUGGCGAAAGGGUUAGUAAUGCGAUCGAAUGUACCCCGAGGUGGAGGAUAACGGGAAGAAAUUCUCGGUAAUACUCCAUGAUGUCUUCGGACCAAAGUUUUGGCGCCUUGGGAGCAGCGAUCGUCCUAUCAGGUAGUUGGCGGGGUAAAAGCCCACCAAGCCUUAGACGGGUAGCGGGUGUGAGAGCACGGCCCGCAACAUCGGAACUGAGACACUGUCCGGACUCCUACGGGAGGCUGCAGUAACGAAUCUUCCGCAAUGGGCGCAAGCCUGACGGAGCAAUGCCGCGUGCGGGAUGAAGUAUCUCUGGUAUGUAAACCGCUGUCAGGGGGCAGAAACAAUGAUUGCCCCCAGAGGAAGUGGCGACUAACUCUGUGCCAGCAGUCGCGGUAAUACAGAGGCCACAAGCAUUAGUCGGAAUCACUGGGCUUAAAGGGUGCGUAGGUUGUCCAUCAAGUGCUUUGUGAAAUCCCACGGCUCAACCGUGGAACAGCAGGGCAUACUGAUGGACUUGAGGCAAGUAGGGGCUGACGGAACAGUAGGUGGAGCGGUGAAAUGCGUAGAUAUCUACUGGAACGCCGAUGGUGAAGACGGUCAGCUGGGCUUGUCCUGACACUGAGGCACGAAAGCGUGGGGAGCAAACAGGAUUAGAUACCCUGGUAGUCCACGCUGUAAACGAUGCGCACUGGACCGGUGCGGUUUUGACGCCGUAUCGGUCGUAGUAAAAACGAUAAGUGCGCCGCCUGGGGAGUACGGUCGCAAGAUUAAAACUCAAAGGAAUUGACGGGAGCUCACACAAGCGGUGGAGCAUGUUGCUUAAUUCGAGGCAACGCGAAGAACCUUACCUGGGUUUGACAUGCUUGGAUUAACC
RNAcentral lists this ribosomal RNA (881 nucleotides) under uncultured bacterium. RNAcentral's name for it is "bacterial SSU rRNA". It matches the Rfam family "Bacterial small subunit ribosomal RNA", at positions 85 to 1000 of the family's 1533-position model. The record is from RNAcentral.